UGCCUACAGAAGACAGUCGUCUCCAAAGCUGACAUGGCAGGAUUUUGUAAUUACCUCUUUUUUAGUUUGCUUAUACAAAUCUGUAAUGACAUGUUUGAUGUACGUGAAGAAAUAUACAGUUUCUUCUGCUCUUGUCAGGAGGAGUUGUGACUGUGAUCUUCACACCUGCUUUGCUGGCCAUCCUUGGUUGGACCCAAGCUGGAGUAGUAGCAGGCUCCAUUGCUGCCGCAAUAAUGUCAUGGUUUGGAAUCGUGUCAUCAGGAAGUCUGGUUGCAUUUUUGCAAUCAAUAGGUGUAACUGGUCUGACAACGACUCCAGAUGGACCUGUAGGCAGCGUUGGAGGAGCAAUGGGAUGGAUGCUAUCAGCCAUUUGUAACCAAACCCAAAAUGAUACCACUUCAACCUAAAGAUAAACAGCAUGGACACAGGCUGUGUGUACUCUUAAAUAACACAAUUAUUCAUGUAGGUGACUGUUUCUGUUUCUGUGAUCAAUCUAAUCAUCUUAUUUAAAUUAACGUUUCAUGCAUCUGCCAUACACACUCUGCAUAAAGCAUCUUUCAGGUAAACAUAAGAGGUUGCUGAACACAAUGAGCUAAACAUUGUAUAAGAAAUGCAGAAGAUGCUGCCUGGUGUUGACUCAGGAA
Molecule: long non-coding RNA, 644 nt
Organism: Labrus mixtus (cuckoo wrasse)
Lineage: Eukaryota; Metazoa; Chordata; Actinopteri; Labriformes; Labridae
Exons: 5
Source: RefSeq, a predicted model, not a curated record